This 426-nucleotide ribosomal RNA is filed under the name uncultured bacterium. Its description in RNAcentral is "partial 16S ribosomal RNA". It matches the Rfam family "Bacterial small subunit ribosomal RNA", at positions 354 to 796 of the family's 1533-position model. The record is from RNAcentral.
GUGAGGAAUUUUCCGCAAUGGGCGAAAGCCUGACGGAGCAAUGCCGCGUGAAGGAUGAAGGCCUAUGGGUUGUAAACUUCUUUUCUCAGAAAAGAAUUAUGACGGUAUCUGAGGAAUAAGCAUCGGCUAACUCUGUGCCAGCAGCCGCGGUAAGACAGAGGAUGCAAGCGUUAUCAGGAAUGAUUGGGCGUAAAGCGUCUGUAGGUUGUUUAAAAAGUAUUCUGUCAAAGAUUAGGGCUUAACCCUAGAUAGGCAGAAUAAACUUUUAAGCUAGAGGUUGGUAGAGGCAGAGGGAAUUCCCGGUGGAGCGGUGAAAUGCGUAGAUAUCGGGAGGAACACCAAAGGCGAAGGCACUCUGCUGGGCCAAUACUAACACUGAGAGACGAAAGCGAGGGGAGCAAAUGGGAUUAGAAACCCGUGUAGUCC